This 352-nucleotide unclassified non-coding RNA is filed under the name soil metagenome. RNAcentral describes it as "partial contains 5.8S ribosomal RNA, internal transcribed spacer 2, and large subunit ribosomal RNA". The stretch from base 1 to 120 matches the Rfam family "5.8S ribosomal RNA", at positions 35 to 154 of the family's 154-position model. The record is from RNAcentral.
GAUGAAGAACGCAGCGAAAUGCGAUAAGUAAUGUGAAUUGCAGAAUUCAGUGAAUCAUCGAAUCUUUGAACGCACAUUGCGCCCGCCAGUAUUCUGGCGGGCAUGCCUGUUCGAGCGUCAUUUCAACCCUCAGGCCCCCAGUGCCUGGUGUUGGGGAUCGGCCCAGCCUUCCUGUAAGGCCGCCGGCCCCGAAAUCUAGUGGCGGUCUCGCUGUAGUCCUCCUCUGCGUAGCAGCACAACCUCGCAGUUGGAACGCGGCGGUGGCCAUGCCGUUAAACACCCCACUUCUGAAAGUUGACCUCGGAUCAGGUAGGAAUACCCGCUGAACUUAAGCAUAUCAAUAAGCGGAGGA